CGGGUGCGUAACACGUGAGCAACCUGCCGAUCUGAGGGGGAUAGCCGGCCCAACGGCCGGGUAAUACCGCAUACGUUCUCGAGGGGGAGUCCCCUUGGGAAGAAACCUCCGGGGCAGAUCGAGGGGCUCGCGGCCUAUCAGCUAGUUGGUGAGGUAACGGCUCACCAAGGCAUCGACGGGUAGCUGGUCUGAGAGGAUGGCCAGCCACAUUGGGACUGAGAGACGGCCCAG
This 231-nucleotide ribosomal RNA is filed under the name uncultured bacterium. Its description in RNAcentral is "partial 16S ribosomal RNA". It matches the Rfam family "Bacterial small subunit ribosomal RNA", at positions 103 to 334 of the family's 1533-position model. The record is from RNAcentral.